AUGGAGUUUGUAAGGUUUUUAGUGCUGAUGAUCACAAGUCUUGUCCUGCUUUUGCACAACUCAUGUGCUCUUGUUGUUCAUCACCAAGGUAACAACUAGCUUCUACUAACUGCACAUUAUUCCUUUCUGCCUCGUUGUCUCCUCGAUACCCAGAAGACUGACCAUCAGAAUAUUAUAUCUUUAAUCUGUUAUUUCAGGAAGGAAACUGAAGGGGAACUCUCCGAUGGCUAGCCAAGAAAAUUUAGCACCUGCUAAAAUGGGACUUAUUCAUCGUGAUUCUUAAUCUGAUGCUGUCGGGGGAAACCAGCAGCAAUGGAACUACUAGUUAGCUGACAGGGAGAGGAUAUAUGUGAAGCUGCUUUCGACAAUCUAAUUGAGGAUGCUUUGCUAAUUUCCACAUAUGCCCCAAAAGAUGGUGCUCUUGGAAUAAUCGACGACAAUGGGCCUGAUAUCAAAAGUCUUUUGUUAUGGAUUUUUUGUUGAUAAAAAAUUUGGUGUAAUAAUAUAUUGAUGUAUUUUAUUUAACAUUCAAGAUUUAGGAUUUUUUUUUACUAAUGUCAGUAACAAUGGUACGCUCUUGACGGUGGUGGUUUAGGUAUCGUUAGAUUUGUGGUGGGUAACAUUCUUAGUUGUUUUUUGGGAUUUUCUUGUAUUGAACCUUUAAUGGUGGAAUAAUAUAUUUAUG
This is a long non-coding RNA of Daucus carota subsp. sativus, 685 nucleotides long. RefSeq lists it as uncharacterized. Lineage: Eukaryota; Viridiplantae; Streptophyta; Magnoliopsida; Apiales; Apiaceae. The transcript is spliced from 3 exons. The record is from RefSeq and is a predicted model, not a curated record.